Long non-coding RNA from Numida meleagris (helmeted guineafowl), 376 nucleotides. RefSeq lists it as uncharacterized. Lineage: Eukaryota; Metazoa; Chordata; Aves; Galliformes; Numididae. The transcript is spliced from 2 exons. The record is from RefSeq and is a predicted model, not a curated record.
CUCCGGGCCCGGGCUGCGUGCGGGAAGUGGUUUCCUCCUGCACCCUUCCCUGCCGGGAGCAUGGGGCGGGCUGCAGCGGCCAGCGUGGCCGCAGGCUUUGGUGCUCAGAGGGCUCGGAUAACUGAGGGGACAAUCUGCUGUCUGCGGGACAACACCGAACAGCCGAACAAUCUCAAACACCAACAGCUGAACGUGUUGCAGUUUCUAAGUUAAUCGUGUGGGUUUUUUUUAUCACACUCUGGAGAGAUACAGCAGGCCAAGCACACUGGAGAUAUCAGGAAUGAGGAAGAGAAAAUGCUAACCUUACAAAACAGGAUUUUGGUGCCCUCUCAACCUGAACGCUGAAGGCUAGUCUGAAUAAAAACUGUCAAACUUU